AACGAACGCUGGCGGCAUGCCUAACAUAUGCAAGUCGAACGAAGCCUUCGGGCUUAGUGGCGCACGGGUGCGUAACGCGUGGGAAUCUGCCCUUAGGUACGGAAUAACUCAGGGAAACUUGUGCUAAUACCGUAUGAUGUCGAGAGACCAAAGAUUUAUCGCCUAGGGAUGAGCCCGCGUAGGAUUAGCUAGUUGGUGGGGUAAAGGCCUACCAAGGCGACGAUCCUUAGCUGGUCUGAGAGGAUGAUCAGCCACACUGGGACUGAGACACGGCCCAGACUCCUCCGGGAGGCAGCAGUGGGGAAUAUUGGACAAUGGGCGAAAGCCUGAUCCAGCAAUGCCGCGUGAGUGAAGAAGGCCUUCGGUU
This 367-nucleotide ribosomal RNA is filed under the name uncultured bacterium. RNAcentral describes it as "bacterial SSU rRNA". It matches the Rfam family "Bacterial small subunit ribosomal RNA", at positions 29 to 423 of the family's 1533-position model. The record is from RNAcentral.